UCAGCAUUGAAGGCUGAAUUUGGGGAAUUUUGAACGAUUAUAGGGAAUUUUUUGCAGCUGUCUAGGGAAAUGCUGUUGAAAACUGGGAACCUGCCUCAAAAUGAAUACAAACAUUGCGUCCUGGGAAGUGCUGCGGUACGUAUUAGGUUGCUGGUGAUGUUCGUAGGCCAAGAAGAAAAGAGUCCAAUAUUUCUCCCUUGAAGAAGGGAGCCAGUUAGAAGAAAGGCGCCUUCCUUGCCAACAUAUCCAGCAGAAUGUAACCAGUUGUAACCAGAAGGCAGGGGUUUGCUUUCAUCAAUCUCAACCAACUUCAACCCAGAACAUGACGAAGCAUCAGCCUUGACUAUCAAGUUCUUCUUGGAAUCUACGAAGCAGAACACCUGAGAAUAUAAGGCAUUGGAAGGAAGAACCCCCAUUGCAGGUGCCGAUGCAGAAGUUUUGGACGAGGGAACAGCCGAACACACACAGAGGAGGUAGUUCAACCACGACGAUCGGCUCGCCUUUUGGCCAGACAUUUGAACGAGGGAAUAACAUGAUUAAGAUAGUUUGUUUUGGUUGUUAUCUCCCUUGGAGACGUUU
This is a long non-coding RNA of Macrobrachium nipponense, 579 nucleotides long. RefSeq lists it as uncharacterized. NCBI's taxonomy places the organism in Eukaryota, Metazoa, Arthropoda, Malacostraca, Decapoda, Palaemonidae. The transcript is spliced from 4 exons. The record is from RefSeq and is a predicted model, not a curated record.